This 305-nucleotide ribosomal RNA is filed under the name uncultured bacterium. Its description in RNAcentral is "bacterial SSU rRNA". It matches the Rfam family "Bacterial small subunit ribosomal RNA", at positions 334 to 656 of the family's 1533-position model. The record is from RNAcentral.
ACCACCUACGGGGGGCAGCAGUCGGGAAUAUUGCGCAAUGGAGGAAACUCUGACGCAGUGACGCCGCGUGCAGGAAGAAGGUUUUCGGAUUGUAAACUGCUUUAGACAGGGAAGAUAAUGACAGUACCUGUAGAAUAAGCUCCGGCUAACUACGUGCCAGCAGCCGCGGUAAUACGUAGGGAGCAAGCGUUAAUCGGAAUUACUGGGCGUAAAGCGCUCGUAGGCGGUAUGUCAAGUCAAGGGUGAAAUCCCCGCGCUCAACGUGGGAACUGCCUUUGAAACUGGCAAACUGGAGUGUGUGAGAG